RNAcentral lists this ribosomal RNA (253 nucleotides) under uncultured bacterium. RNAcentral describes it as "partial 16S ribosomal RNA". It matches the Rfam family "Bacterial small subunit ribosomal RNA", at positions 524 to 776 of the family's 1533-position model. The record is from RNAcentral.
UACGGGGGGGGCAAGCGUUGUUCGGACUUACUGGGCGUAAAGGGCUCGUAGGUGGCCAACUAAGUCAGACGUGAAAUCCCUCGGCUUAACCGGGGAACUGCGUCUGAUACUGGAUGGCUUGAGUUUGGGAGAGGGAUGCGGAAUUCCAGGUGUAGCGGUGAAAUGCGUAGAUAUCUGGAGGAACACCGGUGGCGAAGGCGGCAUCCUGGACCAACACUGACACUGAUGAGCGAAAGCCAGGGGAGCAAACGGG